UAAGGAAUAUUGGUCAAUGGACGCAAGUCUGAACCAGCCAUGCCGCGUGAAGGAUGAAGGUCCUCUGGAUUGUAAACUUCUUUUAUCUGGGACGAAAACGGGAUUUUUAUCUCAAUUGACGGUACCAGAGGAAUAAGCACCGGCUAACUCCGUGCCAGCAGCCGCGGUAAUACGGAGGGUGCGAGCGUUAUCCGGAUUUACUGGGUUUAAAGGGUGCGUAGGUGGGCUUAUAAGUCAGUGGUGAAAUCUCCGAGCUUAACUUGGAAAUUGCCGUUGAUACUAUAGGUCUUGAAUUAUCUGGAGGUAAGCGGAAUAUGUCAUGUAGCGGUGAAAUGCUUAGAUAUGACAUAGAACACCAAUUGCGAAGGCAGCUUACUACAUAUAAAUUGACGCUGAGGCACGAAAGCGUGGGGAUCAAACA
This 421-nucleotide ribosomal RNA is filed under the name uncultured bacterium. RNAcentral describes it as "bacterial SSU rRNA". It matches the Rfam family "Bacterial small subunit ribosomal RNA", at positions 355 to 774 of the family's 1533-position model. The record is from RNAcentral.